AGGCCAUGGUGUGGGCACUUACUCAUCAACUCUUUCAUUCUUUCCCAAGACUCAUGAAUUUGUUCACCCGGUGUUUGGGUGAAUCCAGUGAUGGCUCUUCUCAUGGU
Non-coding RNA from Nelumbo nucifera (sacred lotus), 107 nucleotides. Lineage: Eukaryota; Viridiplantae; Streptophyta; Magnoliopsida; Proteales; Nelumbonaceae. The record is from Rfam.